This 253-nucleotide ribosomal RNA is filed under the name uncultured bacterium. Its description in RNAcentral is "partial 16S ribosomal RNA". It matches the Rfam family "Bacterial small subunit ribosomal RNA", at positions 524 to 776 of the family's 1533-position model. The record is from RNAcentral.
UACGUAGGGGGCUAGCGUUGUCCGGAAUCAUUGGGCGUAAAGCGCACGUAGGCGGAUUGUUAAGUCAGGGGUGAAAUCCUGGAGCUCAACUCCAGAACUGCCUUUGAUACUGGCGAUCUCGAGUCCGGGAGAGGUGAGUGGAACUGCGAGUGUAGAGGUGAAAUUCGUAGAUAUUCGCAAGAACACCAGUGGCGAAGGCGGCUCACUGGCCCGAUACUGAUGCUGAGGCACGAAAGCGUGGGGAGCAAACAGG